GAUGAAGAACGCAGCGAAAUGCGAUAAGUAAUGUGAAUUGCAGAAUUCAGUGAAUCAUCGAAUCUUUGUACGCACAUUGCGCCCCCUGGUAUUCCGGGGGGCAUGCCUGUCCGAGCGUCAUUACAACCCUCAAGCUCAGCUUGGUAUUGGGCCCCGCCGCUCCGGCGGGCCCUAAAGUCAGUGGCGGUGCCGUCCGGCUCCGAGCGUAGUAAUUCUUCUCGCUCUGGAGGUCCGGUCGUGUGCUCGCCAGCAACCCCCAAUUUUUUUCAGGUUGACCUCGGAUCAGGUAGGGAUACCCGCUGAACUUAAGCAUAUCAAUAAGCGGAGGA
This 329-nucleotide unclassified non-coding RNA is filed under the name soil metagenome. RNAcentral's name for it is "partial contains 5.8S ribosomal RNA, internal transcribed spacer 2, and large subunit ribosomal RNA". The stretch from base 1 to 120 matches the Rfam family "5.8S ribosomal RNA", at positions 35 to 154 of the family's 154-position model. The record is from RNAcentral.